Long non-coding RNA from Brassica oleracea var. oleracea, 232 nucleotides. RefSeq lists it as uncharacterized. The transcript is spliced from 3 exons. Lineage: Eukaryota; Viridiplantae; Streptophyta; Magnoliopsida; Brassicales; Brassicaceae. The record is from RefSeq and is a predicted model, not a curated record.
AUACUCCUCAUCUUGGACAUAUCGCUAAAAUCGGAUUAAUCGUUGCUGUUGUCGCUUUAACCGAGGCCAUUGCGGUGGGAAGGUCGUUCGCGGGAAUAAAAGGGUAUAGACUCGAUGGAAACAAAGAAAUGGUGGCCAUUGGAUUUAUGAAUGUUCUUGGUUCCUUAACAUCUUGUUAUGCUGCUACUGGUUCUUUCUCUCGGACGGCGGUGAACUUCGCUGCCGGGUGUGA